This 270-nucleotide ribosomal RNA is filed under the name uncultured bacterium. RNAcentral's name for it is "partial 16S ribosomal RNA". It matches the Rfam family "Bacterial small subunit ribosomal RNA", at positions 29 to 281 of the family's 1533-position model. The record is from RNAcentral.
AGCGAACGCUGGCGGCGUACUUAACACAUGCAAGUCGAACGGGGAUCAUCAGUGUAGCAAUACAUCGGUGGUCCUAGUGGCGCACGGGUGAGUAACACGUGGGUAACCUGCCCUUGAGUUCGGGAUACCCCCUCGAAAGGGGGGCUAAUACCGGAUACGUUCCUCGGAUCGACAGGUCUGGGGAGGAAAGGUGGCGCAAGCUGCCGCUCUUGGAGGGGCUCGCGGCCUAUCAGCUAGUUGGCGGGGUAACGGCCCACCAAGGCUAUGACG